ACGGGAGGCAGCAGUGGGGAAUAUUGGACAAUGGGGGAAACCCUGAUCCAGCGACGCCGCGUGAGUGAAGAAGUAUUUCGGUAUGUAAAGCUCUAUCAGCAAGGAAGAAAAUGACGGUACUUGACUAAGAAGCCCCGGCUAACUACGUGCCAGCAGCCGCGGUAAUACGUAGGGGGCAAGCGUUAUCCGGAUUUACUGGGUGUAAAGGGAGCGUAGGCGGCCAGACAAGUCAGGUGUGAAAACCCGGGGCUUAACCCCGGGACUGCACUUGAAACUGCCUGGCUGGAGUGCAGGAGAGGCAAGUGGAAUUCCUAGUGUAGCGGUGAAAUGCGUAGAUAUUAGGAAGAACACCGGUGGCGAAGGCGACUUGCUGGACUGAGACUGACGCUGAGGCUCGAAAGCGUGGGGAGCAAACAGGAUUAGAUACCCUGGUA
RNAcentral lists this ribosomal RNA (434 nucleotides) under uncultured Lachnospiraceae bacterium. RNAcentral describes it as "partial 16S ribosomal RNA". It matches the Rfam family "Bacterial small subunit ribosomal RNA", at positions 341 to 792 of the family's 1533-position model. The record is from RNAcentral. Lineage: Bacteria; Bacillati; Bacillota; Clostridia; Lachnospirales; Lachnospiraceae.